Centruroides sculpturatus (bark scorpion) is the source of this 523-nucleotide long non-coding RNA. RefSeq lists it as uncharacterized. The transcript has 3 exons. The record is from RefSeq and is a predicted model, not a curated record. Lineage: Eukaryota; Metazoa; Arthropoda; Arachnida; Scorpiones; Buthidae.
UCCAACUUUCAUAUUAUUUCUUUGUUUUAUUGCUCUGAUGAUAAUUUCAGUUGAACAGGAAAUCCUGCUCUUAGGGGAAGUUCUGGACAGGAAAUCAGUUCUAAUUAACAUAAUUUGAUCUUUGUUCCUAUAAGUUCCAUUUUCACCGAUUGACUGAUAACUACACUUACGUACAGAUAAUUAUAUUAUCUUUAUUUAUGCUUCACAAUAUCAGUAAUUUCAGCUUGUAUAACAUUCUACAUUCUGUAACAGGAUAUUCUAAAAGAGGAAGCCAUAAGACAAUCCGGCAAUCCGACAACUAAAAGUGUCGUCGAAAUGGAAAACCAUGUUUUUGCUAAAGCCAGAACUAAGGAAGAAUAUUUAGGUUAUGUUGCAAGAUUAAUUAUUCAUGCACGAGAAAUGAGUAAGUGAAUGUAUAUUAAAAUAUUUUGGAAUUUAAAUUUUCUACAUAACAAUAAAACAAUCAUUGAUUACUUAUAAAUAACCUAUCAUAUUAUAAAUAACAUGAUUUAUUGCAUAUAAA